AUGUGGUAAAAUAGCAUUGAGGUUAGUUUUGGGUUUCAAUUCUGGCUUGAUUAUCUAGUUGUGGAAAUAUAUUCUCUCUGAAACUUAUUUGGCCUACCUGUCUCCCAUACUUCUGUUUCUCACCUCUUGGAGUGUCCAUUGGUUCAACCCUUCAACACAUUCCUCUACAUUAAAGGUUGUAUUUUCUCUUGAUCAUCUGUUUACUGGAAGCCUGUCCCACCUUUCCAACACUGGAUGAACAUUCUUGUUUAGAAAUUUUACAGUUUUAUAGGUGAAAAAGACAAGGAAACUCAGAGACCUUAAAUAAUCUAGAUCACACAGCAAGCAAGUGGUGGAACCAAGGUUGGAAGCAACAUAGAUUUGGCAGCAUUCUCUUGAGCCAGCGGGAAUGCAAUAUAUGGACAAGAUCACAUUUAACAACCCUGUUCCUUUUGAAAUAAAAGCUAAA
Molecule: long non-coding RNA, 448 nt
Organism: Talpa occidentalis (Iberian mole)
Lineage: Eukaryota; Metazoa; Chordata; Mammalia; Eulipotyphla; Talpidae
Exons: 4
Source: RefSeq, a predicted model, not a curated record